AUUGAACGCUGGCGGCAUGCCUUACACAUGCAAGUCGAACGGCAGCGGACCUUCGGGUGCCGGCGAGUGGCGAACGGGUGAGUAAUAUAUCGGAACGUACCUUUCAGUGGGGGAUGACGUAGCGAAAGUUACGCUAAUACCGCAUAUUCUGUGAGCAGGAAAGCAGGGGAUCGCAAGACCUUGCGCUGAUUGAGCGGCCGAUAUCAGAUUAGCUAGUUGGUGAGGUAAAGGCUCACCAAGGCGACGAUCUGUAGCGGGUCUGAGAGGAUGAUCCGCCACACUGGAACUGAGACACGGUCCAGACUCCUACGGGAGGCAGCAGUGGGGAAUUUUGGACAAUGGGCGCAAGCCUGAUCCAGCCAUGCCGCGUGAGUGAAGAAGGCC
This 384-nucleotide ribosomal RNA is filed under the name uncultured bacterium. RNAcentral describes it as "bacterial SSU rRNA". It matches the Rfam family "Bacterial small subunit ribosomal RNA", at positions 30 to 416 of the family's 1533-position model. The record is from RNAcentral.